RNAcentral lists this unclassified non-coding RNA (1486 nucleotides) under Haliotis rufescens (red abalone). RNAcentral describes it as "integumentary mucin C.1-like, transcript variant X3". Lineage: Eukaryota; Metazoa; Mollusca; Gastropoda; Lepetellida; Haliotidae. The record is from RNAcentral.
AGCUGAGUUGAUUGCAAUAAUAUGUCAGCGCUCUCCAGCCGAGGAUAUAAUUACACAAAAGCACUCUCCAAAUGCGUUGGCGAAAUAUUCCGAAUGUUCGCAAAUGAUAUUUCUAGCUGAACGAAAAACUUUGCAAUGUAUAGUUGAUCGGCGAGGCAUAGAUAUCGUGGUCAGAUGACAAGAAGGGAUCAGCGCAUGUGACAGUUUCAUUUGUGAUGGACGACGCCAACAACCUCUUCACGAACUACUACGACGACUACCUCGGCGUCAACCUCAACUCCUUUAAUCAGGACGUCAUUGACAACGACACCUUCUACUACGACGAUGUUGAAACUCUCGAGGGAGACCAGCCAAUCGAAACGACGCUACACAUUGUUCUCGCGUUUUUCAUCACCAUCAUCAACCUCCUCGUCAUCUGUGUCAUCAUCAGUGACAAAUCGCUUCGAACAUCGCCCAAAUACAUCCAUGUUCUCAACUUGACCUUUGCUGACCUCAUUUAUUCUGUGGCGGUGCUCCCUCUAUUGGCAGAGUUCAACAUUAGAGACAAAUGGAUUCACUUCUGCGAACUCAAGUUAUUUGCCGAACUGUUCGACUCGAGCUUCCACCCGGCGUUCACCUGGCUAGCGCUCAGCGUGUUGAAUAUUGUCAUCCUAUUCACAGUUUGCACAACCCUAUUUGACAAACGUUCCAAACGUCCCUACAUCGCAAUGGCGUUAAUGCUCCUCCCGUGGGCGAUGACUUGUCUGGGCUUUAUCCCGUUAUACCGCGUUAUAAUAGAGCCCCUCGUUUUAAGAGGCCAUCCCUGUAUGUAUACAAUAUCGCCACAACGCCACGUGGCUCUUCUUCUGCUGACCUAUCCUUUAAUGUGUCUGUUUUUAGUGAUGACGUCAUUUCUGACAGUAGUACUUGUCUUGUACAGAAGAAAUGUUUCUCUUUGCGGCUCAUUGUGCGGAAAAACGUUUCCGUCAAGGGGAGACAACCGCGUGCCACGCGGUGACCCGGAAGAUGAGCGGCGUGAGUUCAUGUUUGACGUGUUGCUCGUCAGCAUACUGACAGUCAUGCUCAGUUUUCCCGUUUUCGCAUUGCAGAUGUAUUUUAAGUUAAAGAACGGGGAUCGCAAUUGUUCCAGCGAUGAGGAAUGUGACAUGUAUAUAUUAGGAAGCCGAAUAGUACACUUUCUUCACGUAUCUCGGAGCGCCGUGAUCCCCGUGGUAUGGUUUCUAGGCAAAGAUUUUCGUUAUGGCUUCAUCCAACUUAUGAAAUGCGGCAAAACCAAAGAAAUCAAACAGGAUCUCUGAUGGUGAACCAUAAGCGGUUUAUUUAUUAAUAUUUAAUAAUUUAUUAAUAUACCCGAGAAAAAUGGAAAGAUUUAUUACCCUUUGGCAGCCCAUCAUCAGCAUGUGGCCAUGCUUCUGAGCUUUUGAGCAUUGCACCUUUAGCGACGUGUGUGUGUGUGUGUGUGUGUGUGUGUGUGUGUGUGUGUGUG